CGGCAAGCCUGAUCCAGCCAUGCCGCGUGAGUGAAGAAGGCCUUCGGGUUGUAAAGCUCUUUCGGCCGGGAAGAAAUCGCACAGGUUAAUACCCUGUGUGGAUGACGGUACCGGAAUAAGAAGCACCGGCUAACUACGUGCCAGCAGCCGCGGUAAUACGUAGGGUGCGAGCGUUAAUCGGAAUUACUGGGCGUAAAGCGUGCGCAGGCGGUUUUGUAAGACAGGCGUGAAAUCCCCGGGCUCAACCUGGGAACUGCGUUUGUGACUGCAAGGCUAGAGUAUGGCAGAGGGGGGUGGAAUUCCACGUGUAGCAGUGAAAUGCGUAGAGAUGUGGAGGAACACCGAUGGCGAAGGCAGCCCCCUGGGCCAAUACUGACGCUCAUGCACGAAAGCGUGGGUAGCAAACAGGAUUAGAUACCCUGGUAGUCCACGCCCUAAACGAUGUCAACUAGGUGUUGGGAGGGUAAAACCUUUUAGUACCGGAGCUAACGCGUGAAGUUGACCGCCUGGGGAGUACGGCCGCAAGGUUAAAAACUCAAAGGAAUUGACGGGGAC
This 555-nucleotide ribosomal RNA is filed under the name uncultured bacterium. RNAcentral's name for it is "bacterial SSU rRNA". It matches the Rfam family "Bacterial small subunit ribosomal RNA", at positions 376 to 920 of the family's 1533-position model. The record is from RNAcentral.